This 444-nucleotide ribosomal RNA is filed under the name Bacteroidota bacterium. RNAcentral describes it as "Bacteroidetes bacterium partial 23S ribosomal RNA". It matches the Rfam family "Bacterial large subunit ribosomal RNA", at positions 2469 to 2925 of the family's 2925-position model. The record is from RNAcentral. Lineage: Bacteria; Pseudomonadati; Bacteroidota.
CGGGGAUAACAGGCUGAUCUCCCCCAAGAGCUCAUAUCGACGGGGAGGUUUGGCACCUCGAUGUCGGUUCGUCACAUCCUGGGGCUGGAGAAGGUCCCAAGGGUUCGGCUGUUCGCCGAUUAAAGUGGCACGUGAACUGGGUUCAGAACGUCGCAAGACAGUUCGGUCCCUAUCUGUGGUGGGCGUUAGAAGAUUGAGAAGACAUGACCUUAGUACGAGAGGACCGGGUCGUACGUACCGCUGGUGUAUCAGUUGUGCCGCCAGGUGCAAUGCUGAGUAGCUAUGUACGGACAGGAUAAACGCUGAAAGCAUCUAAGCGUGAAACCUACUUCAAGAUGAGUCUUCUUUUAAGGGCCGUCAGAGACUAUGACGUUGAUAGGCUACAGGUGUAAAAGUGGUGACACUAAAGCCGAGUAGUACUAAUUGCCCGUACGCUUUAAUUUU